Molecule: ribosomal RNA, 866 nt
Filed under: uncultured Methanoculleus sp.
Lineage: Archaea; Methanobacteriati; Methanobacteriota; Methanomicrobia; Methanomicrobiales; Methanomicrobiaceae
Description: bacterial SSU rRNA
Rfam family: Archaeal small subunit ribosomal RNA
Source: RNAcentral
CCUAUAGACUACAGAUGCUGGAAUGCUCUGUAAUCGAAAGUUCCGACGCCUUAGGAUGGAUCUGCGGCCGAUUAGGUUGUUGUCGGGGUAAUGGCCCAACAAGCCAGUGAUCGGUACGGGUUGUGGGAGCAAGAGCCCGGAGUUGGAUUCUGAGACACGAAUCCAGGCCCUACGGGGCGCAGCAGGCGCGAAAACUUUACAAUGCGGGCAACCGUGAUAAGGGAACCUCGAGUGCCUGUAUAUGCAGGCUGUCCAGGUGUCUAAAACACACCUGAAGAAAGGGCCGGGCAAGACCGGUGCCAGCCGCCGCGGUAAUACCGGCGGCUCGAGUGGUGGCCACUUUUAUUGGGCUUAAAGCGUUCGUAGCUGGGUUGUUAAGUCUCUUGGGAAAUCUGGCGGCUUAACCGUCAGGCGUCUAAGGGAUACUGGCAAUCUUGGAACCGGGAGAGGUGAGGGGUACUUCGGGGGUAGGAGUGAAAUCCUGUAAUCCUCGAGGGACCACCUGUGGCGAAGGCGCCUCACCAGAACGGCUUCGACAGUGAGGGACGAAAGCUGGGUGGAGCAAACCGGAUUAUAUACCCGGGUAGUCCCAGCCGUAUAUGAUGCGCGUUAGGUGUAUCGGUGACCACGAGUCACCGAGGUGCCGAAGGGGAAACCGUGAAACGUGCCGCCUGGGAAGUACAGGUCGCAAGGGCUGAAACUUAAAGGAAUUGUCGGGAGGAGCACCACUACGGGUUGAAACCUGCGAUUUAAUAUGCACUCAACGCCGGAAAUCUCACCGGAUAAGACAGCUGAAUGAUUGUCAGGGCUGAAUAACUCUGCAUGACUAGCUGAGCAGAGGUGCAUAUCCGUCGUCAGGUCAUACU